GAGAUGGAGGGGAAGGGGAGAAGGAGGGAGGAGAGAGGAAGCGGGAGGAGAGGCGAAAUUCAGGCUGGGAGAGAAAACAGAAGGGUCCCUGUGCGCUGUGGGCGAUGCGCCUCCUGGCCUUGGCCCUGGCCGCCCUGCUGGCCCAAGCGCCCAUCCCAGAUGUUUGCGAGGCUCUGAAUGUGACAGUCUCACCAGGACCGACAGUGCGAUACGCCGAGGGAGACAAUGCUACCCUUUAUUGUCACGUUUCUCAAAAGAGACGGACAGACAACUUACUUGCUGUCCGAUGGGUUUUUGCCCUCUCACCCACACAGGAGUAUCUGAUGAUCAAAAUGACUAAAUUUGGGAUUGUCCAGUACUAUGGAAAUUACACCCACCACUUCCACAAGCAAAGACUUCGCCUUCUUCAAGAGAGACACGGAACAAUAUACAAAUUCCUAAUUCUGAAUCUGCGGCCAACGGAUCAAGGCCAUUAUAUAUGCAAAGUCCAGGAAAUUGGCAAGCACAGGAAUAAGUGGACUGCAUGGUCAAAUGGCACAGCAGCUACUGAAGUAAAAGUGAUUUCAUCGAAAGCUUCAGAAGAUCCCACUUUUGAGAAAACCCAUGAGGCCUGGAAGUUUUUUGAAGACCUGUACGUAUAUGCAGUGUUUGUGUGCUCCAUCGGCAUCAUCAGCGUCCUCCUUUUUACACUUGUCAUUCUCUGCCAGUCACUGCUGAACAAGAAAAGAUCCAGAGUGAAGCAUUAUCUGGUGAAAAAUCCCCAGAACAGCUCGGGGGAGACGGUCACCAGUGUGACAAGUCUGUCCCCGCUACAGCCCAAAAAAGUAAAGAAAAAGAAAGAGAAGGCUGAGCAACCCCCAGCUAUCCCAGCGAAAGCUCCAAUAGCCAAUACUUUUCAGAAACCUAAGCUGUUGAAACCUCAAAGAAAAAUUCUCCUGCCCCUCUUCCUGUGAGUAGUUCAGUUGACUUCAACGAGAUACCACUUCCUCAGCAGACUCGACCCAAGGACAGGGAUGCAGGAGCAGACCUAUGGAGAGGAUAUAAUGAAAUGAGAUUUGUGCUGGAAAAACGCAAGUGAAUACAUCUGGAAAUAAACACAGAUACUGAGUGAUAUUCAAGGCAAAAAUGAAGGCAGUCCAGAUAAUAGCAACAGAAGAGGAUUAAGGGACUGACUCAGAGGGAAUAGUCACAGAGCUAAAUAUAUGCCGAAAAUUGCAGAGGAGAAUUUAACGUACGCCGAACUUGAGCUGAUCAAGCCCCAUCAGGCAGCGAAAGGUGUGCCCACCACGACGGUCUACGCCCAGAUCCUGUUUGAGGAGAACAAGCUGUAAAAGCCGGUGUCUGGCUAAAUGUUCUCUGGCUGUGUUCUAUUUAAUUCUUGCUGUGCUGUUUAUUUAUAAAAAUCAUACAAAUGUC
Molecule: RNA transcript, 1416 nt
Organism: Chrysemys picta bellii (western painted turtle)
Lineage: Eukaryota; Metazoa; Chordata; Testudines; Emydidae
Gene: VSTM4
Gene name: V-set and transmembrane domain containing 4
Source: RefSeq, a predicted model, not a curated record